CGUGGUCCUUGGGGAGCAGGGUGUGGGCAGCGGUGAGGAUCCAGCGGUCCCCCAGCAGGGCCCCGCCGCCCGGGCCGUAGAGGACCUGAGACUGGCCCAGGGGGCCCCGCUCACCUGGCAGACACCGCGGGACCUUCUCCCCCUCCUGCCCGUUCUUCCAGAUGCCCUGGGCGGUGCAGGUGAACAGCCCUGUGAGAGAGGCCCACGGUCAGAGGGGCGACGCGAGAGCGCAGGGCAGAGGCCGAGUGCGCCCAGCGGCUGGACGGACGGGGGACAGGGGUCAUGGAAGCGGGGAGGACAGGGAUCAAAGUUCACCGGUUCAAAGCGGUGUGGAUUAGUAUCGAAAGUGCCGCGAGGAUCCAUCCGUAUAUUUUUGUUUUAAUGUCAAGUUAAAAAAAUCAGAACACUUAACUGUAUGUUUGAGAUAGGCCUAUUUGAGAAAACAGAAAUAAACACCAGCAGGAAUGUA
This is a long non-coding RNA of Fukomys damarensis (Damara mole-rat), 469 nucleotides long. RefSeq lists it as uncharacterized. The transcript has 2 exons. The record is from RefSeq and is a predicted model, not a curated record. NCBI's taxonomy places the organism in Eukaryota, Metazoa, Chordata, Mammalia, Rodentia, Bathyergidae.